Byssothecium circinans is the source of this 89-nucleotide non-coding RNA. The record is from the annotation of a GenBank genome assembly. NCBI's taxonomy places the organism in Eukaryota, Fungi, Ascomycota, Dothideomycetes, Pleosporales, Massarinaceae.
GGUCGGUUAGGUCAGUUGGUUAGAGCGUGGUGCUAAUGGGCUUUGUCUUGUAAACGCCAAGGCCAAUAGUUCAACCCUCUUACUGACGA